This 482-nucleotide long non-coding RNA is filed under the name Anser brachyrhynchus (Pink-footed goose). RNAcentral describes it as "lncRNA (ENSABRG00000013838.1)". The record is from RNAcentral. Lineage: Eukaryota; Metazoa; Chordata; Aves; Anseriformes; Anatidae.
AAUUACCUGGCAAUCACCAGUGAAGGAACAUUAGCUUGAUUCAAAGAAGACUCAUCUGAAGACUUAAAUACUUUCAUUUAAAUAUAAAUAUAAGAUGAUCCAUAGAAAAUACUGGUCGUAUGCAUGGGCAUUAAUGAUGUGUUAUUUAAAUAACUUGCUUAUCCAGGAGCUAAUUUUGUAACUAAUUGUCAUGUUUCACUGUGGUAUGUUUUGCUGCACGGUUGCACAGGAGAUGUAAAAUUGUGCCCCUGCUGGAAGGAAUCUGUUGGUCAACAAACUUGGUUCAGGAUGAAACUCGAUGGCUGUGGGCCCACUAACAUCAUCCUUACACAGGAAGACUGACUGUUACAGAGGUUGCCUGGAUGGGCUCUAUAGGUGGAACAACCUGAACAACAGAAACACAGGACAUUCUUAUAAGAUGAAAGCAUCCCUCUUAUAGAUCCAGGACCGGACAGGCUGUCUGCUCCGCACAGUAACAAAGA